CGAAACUAAUUUACUCAAAUCAUAAUUGAAAGCUACCGUAACAACGUUAAAAGUUCGUCUGUUUUGAACAACUUUUAGGAACGAAUUAAAUUCAAAACCCGAGUUUUGGCUGUAUUGAAACUCGUUGAUGCGAGUGGAUUGGAUCAAUUGGAUGGGAUUAAGUAUGGACGCUCUCAGGACAUUUGCCUAUAUUCGCGUGUUAGACACGUAAUAAAGUCCCGGAAAACUCCACGUGGCUAGGUCAGGUGCGAAUCCGUAACUAACCAAUGGAUAGUUAAGUGGAACAUUAAGAAGGUUUCACAGCUGAAAAGUCAGUUAGCAAUCCUAUUUAAAUAUUCUAGACAAGCUUCUCACCGUAUUCCACUUCACAUUCCACACUAUCUACAAGCUUCAAGAAUGGUUAAAAAUGGAUUCUCCUGCAAGUUAAAAAGAUUUAGAUCUGAUCCCAGAAAAUUCUCAGAACUUGUUGUAAUCUGCUGGGUAUUGUCCCUUGUCAUUGUAGGCUUAGUCUUAAUGGGCUUGGAAAACAAAUCAUCAGUGUUCAGAGAGAGAGAGAGUGGACAGAAUUAAUAAAAAAAAUCAUCUCCAAGUGGAUGUAAAUAAUAGUGCCUGAUGUUCAAUGCCAUCUCCAAAUGGACUUAUCUAAUUACAGCUUUGUGUUCAAUGAUAUAAUUACUAUUAUGCACCAAUUAAAUAAUAAAAAGUAAUAUCUCAAAGCCUUCCAUUGAAGAAAUUGUAACAUUUGAUAAUAUAGAUUUAUGUAUGUGAUUUAUGUACUAGUUAAUAAAAAUUUAUUUUGUAAUAAAUUUAUCUGAGAAUCAAUUCUAUAUAUUACGACCUAGAUAAAUACCAUUUGCAGCAGCGAGAAAAACAUACAAUUAAUAAACAGCAUUCAAAUAAUAGUUUUAAGUUCUCUGCAAUUAAAGUUGUAAAUACAAUAAUCCUUGAAAAAAUUCCCACUGACCCUAUCACCAAUUAUCACUUGAGGUCUUCUAGAUCCUCAAAAAAUAUAUUGUUUUGAAUUGUGUCAUUGAUUAAAGGCAUCAGUAAUAAACAUAAAUUUAAUCUAUCAAUAGUAGUGUUUUGAGAUAAAAAUUAUGUACUGAAUAACUUUCUGAAACAAUUUUAACAUGCAUAACUUAUAAAAAUUGAUAGCCAGAAUGAGGGUGUCUUCCAGCCAUUCUGAGGGAUCUGGCGCAAAUAUAGUUGGGCAAAAUAUUCCAGACACUUUUCUGGACGGCAUUGGUCUCGAGAUCUGCCUAACCUACGACGGACAAAAUAAAAAUACCCUCUUAGUGCACACAGUGCAGAAAGAGUAAACAGUUUUCUUUUUACCUCUGUGUCCUUAAACAAAAAGUAAAAUGUCUACUUGAACUUUUUUAUAAGUAGAACUUAUUUAUA
This is a long non-coding RNA of Centruroides sculpturatus (bark scorpion), 1401 nucleotides long. RefSeq lists it as uncharacterized. The record is from RefSeq and is a predicted model, not a curated record. The transcript is spliced from 5 exons. Lineage: Eukaryota; Metazoa; Arthropoda; Arachnida; Scorpiones; Buthidae.